UUCCAGACUCCUACGGGAGGCAGCAGUGAGGAAUAUUGGUCAAUGGGCGCGAGCCUGAACCAGCCAAGUCGCGUGAGGGAAGACGGUCCUAUGGAUUGUAAACCUCUUUUGUCGGGGAGCAAAAGACGCCACGCGUGGCGUUCCGAGAGUACCCGAAGAAAAAGCAUCGGCUAACUCCGUGCCAGCAGCCGCGGUAAUACGGAGGAUGCGAGCGUUAUCCGGAUUUAUUGGGUUUAAAGGGUGCGUAGGCGGGCAUUUAAGCCGGCGGUCAAAUGUCGGGGCUCAACCCCGGCCUGCCGUCGGAACUGGGUGCCUUGAGUGGGCGAGAAGUAUGCGGAAUGCGUGGUGUAGCGGUGAAAUGCAUAGAUAUCACGCAGAACCCCGAUUGCGAAGGCAGCAUACCGGCGCCCUACUGACGCUGAGGCACGAAAGUGCCGGUAUCGAACAGGAUUAGAUACCCGGGUA
RNAcentral lists this ribosomal RNA (465 nucleotides) under uncultured bacterium. RNAcentral's name for it is "bacterial SSU rRNA". It matches the Rfam family "Bacterial small subunit ribosomal RNA", at positions 329 to 792 of the family's 1533-position model. The record is from RNAcentral.